Molecule: ribosomal RNA, 667 nt
Filed under: Mesorhizobium sp. 20/8C4
Lineage: Bacteria; Pseudomonadati; Pseudomonadota; Alphaproteobacteria; Hyphomicrobiales; Phyllobacteriaceae
Description: bacterial SSU rRNA
Rfam family: Bacterial small subunit ribosomal RNA
Source: RNAcentral
GAGUUUGAUCCUGGUUCAGAACGAACGCUGGCGGCAGGCUUAACACAUGCAAGUCGAGCGCCCCGCAAGGGGAGCGGCAGACGGGUGAGUAACGCGUGGGAAUCUACCCAUCUCUACGGAACAACUCCGGGAAACUGGAGCUAAUACCGUAUACGUCCUUAUGGAGAAAGAUUUAUCGGAGAUGGAUGAGCCCGCGUUGGAUUAGCUAGUUGGUGGGGUAAUGGCCUACCAAGGCGACGAUCCAUAGCUGGUCUGAGAGGAUGAUCAGCCACACUGGGACUGAGACACGGCCCAGACUCCUACGGGAGGCAGCAGUGGGGAAUAUUGGACAAUGGGCGCAAGCCUGAUCCAGCCAUGCCGCGUGAGUGAUGAAGGCCCUAGGGUUGUAAAGCUCUUUCAACGGUGAAGAUAAUGACGGUAACCGUAGAAGAAGCCCCGGCUAACUUCGUGCCAGCAGCCGCGGUAAUACGAAGGGGGCUAGCGUUGUUCGGAAUUACUGGGCGUAAAGCGCACGUAGGCGGAUACUUAAGUCAGGGGUGAAAUCCCGGGGCUCAACCCCGGAACUGCCUUUGAUACUGGGUAUCUGGAGUCCGGAAGAGGUGAGUGGAAUUCCGAGUGUAGAGGUGAAAUUCGUAGAUAUUCGGAGGAACACCAGUGGCGAAGGCGG